UUUAAUGGCCGCAGUAUUUUGACUGUGCAAAGGUAGCAUAAUCAUUAGUUUUUUAAUUGAAAACUAGAAUGAAAGGUUGAACGAGAAAAUUACUGUCUCUUUAUAAUUUUAGUAGAAUUUUAUUUUUAAGUUAAAAAGCUUAAAUUUUUUUAAAAGACGAGAAGACCCUAUAGAGUUUUAUAUUUAUAUAAUAAAAUUUUAUUUUGAAUAGUUAAAUUUUUAUUAAAUUAAAUAUUUGAUUGGGGUGAUUAAAAAAUUUAUUAAACUUUUUUUUUAUUAAAACAUUAAUUUAUGAAUUAUUGAUCCAUUAUUUUAUGAUUAAAAGAAUAAAUUACCUUAGGGAUAACAGCGUAAUUUUUUUUUAGAGUUCAAAUCGAUAAAAAAGUUUGCGACCUCGAUGUUGGAUUAAAAUUAAUUUUUGGUGUAGAAGCUAAAAAAUUAGGUCUGUUCGACCUUUAAAAUUUUACAUGAUCUGAGUUUAAACCGGUGUAAGCCAGGUUGGUUUCUAUCUUUAAAAUAUAGAUAUAUUUUAGUACGAAAGGACCAAAUAUAUAUAAAAUUUAUUAUAUUUUGAAUAUUAUU
Molecule: ribosomal RNA, 582 nt
Filed under: Tinotus morion
Lineage: Eukaryota; Metazoa; Arthropoda; Insecta; Coleoptera; Staphylinidae
Description: partial 16S ribosomal RNA
Rfam family: Bacterial large subunit ribosomal RNA
Source: RNAcentral